UGCAACUUAAAAAAAGGUCCCAGCAUUCGCAAUGGCCUUUGAGGAUCGGAAAUUCAACUACUACGUAGGCAUACGGUCCCGUAUUAGGGUAUCAGGGAUCGGAUGGAGGGAUUUGGGCACUUAAAUCAAACAGCAAACAGAGAGUUUGAUACUAAAACGCGGGAGUAUGGGAGAUUUUGCGGAUGAAUUAACAAAUUAGCCGGGCUUCAUGAAGUUGAUAGAAGAGGGGGAAAAAAGCUGCUGUUCCAAACAUCAUCCUGAUGAGUUUGAGUCCCAGCUUUUCAAAUGAUAAUAAGAACUUCGUUGCCAAUCCUCAUGCGU
RNAcentral lists this small RNA (321 nucleotides) under Histoplasma ohiense. RNAcentral describes it as "hypothetical lncRNA". The record is from RNAcentral. Lineage: Eukaryota; Fungi; Ascomycota; Eurotiomycetes; Onygenales; Ajellomycetaceae.